ACGGGGUAGUAAGGCGUAGGUGACGUGCCCUGCGGUCGGGGAUAGCUUAGGGAAACUUAAGGUAAUACCCGAUAAUCCCACGAGGUUUGAAGACCAUGUGGGCAAAGGUGUGAUUCCACCACAGGAGCGGCUUGCGUGGUAUUAGCUAGUUGGUGAGGUAACGGCUCACCAAGGCAACAAUGCCUAGGGGAUGUCAGCGCAUGAUCCCCACCACUGGGACUGAGAUACUGCCCAGACACCUACGGGUGGCUGCAGUCGAGAAUCUUCGGCAAUGGGGGAAACCCUGACCGAGCGACGCCGCGUGUGGGAUGAAGGCCCUUGGGUUGUAAACCACUGUCAGAGGGGAUGAAGUGCCAGAAAGCUAUCUUUCUGGUUUGACAUAGCCUCAGAGGAAGCACGGGCUAAGUUCGUGCCAGCAGCCGCGGUAAGACGAACUGUGCAAACGUUAUUCGGAAUCACUGGGCUUGAAGAGUGCGUAGGCGGUUUCGUAAGUAGGGUGUGAAAGCCCUCGGCUCAACCGGGGAAUUGCGUCCUAAACUGCGAGGCUGGAGUGAGGUAGGGGUGUGUGGAACUUCCAGUGGAGCGGUG
Molecule: ribosomal RNA, 588 nt
Filed under: uncultured Planctomycetaceae bacterium
Lineage: Bacteria; Pseudomonadati; Planctomycetota; Planctomycetia; Planctomycetales; Planctomycetaceae
Description: bacterial SSU rRNA
Rfam family: Bacterial small subunit ribosomal RNA
Source: RNAcentral